This 497-nucleotide ribosomal RNA is filed under the name uncultured bacterium. RNAcentral's name for it is "partial 16S ribosomal RNA". It matches the Rfam family "Bacterial small subunit ribosomal RNA", at positions 28 to 507 of the family's 1533-position model. The record is from RNAcentral.
GAUGAACGCUGGCGGCGUGCCUAAUACAUGCAAGUCGAGCGAACGGACGAGAAGCUUGCUUUUCUGAUGUUAGCGGCGGACGGGUGAGUAACACGUGGAUAACCUACCUAUAAGACUGGGAUAACUUCGGGAAACCGGAGCUAAUACCGGAUAAUAUUUUGAACCGCAUGGUUCAAAAGUGAAAGACGGUCUUGCUGUCACUUAUAGAUGGAUCCGCGCUGCAUUAGCUAGUUGGUAAGGUAACGGCUUACCAAGGCAACGAUGCAUAGCCGACCUGAGAGGGUAACGGCCCACACUGGAACGGAGCCAGGGCCCAGACUCGUACGGGGGGCAGCAGUAGGAACUCUUCCGCAAGGGGCGAAACCCUGACGGGGCAACGCCGGGUGAGUAAUGAGGGUCUUCGAACCAAAAAACUCUUUUAUGAGGAAAAAACAUAUUUAAAAGUAACGGUGCACAUCUUGAGGAUCCUAAAUCAGAAACCCAGGGCUAGCUAGGUG